GACGAACGCUGGCGGCGUGCCUAAUACAUGCAAGUCGAACGAACUCUGGUAUUGAUUGGUGCUUGCAUCAUGAUUUACAUUUGAGUGAGUGGCGAACUGGUGAGUAACACGUGGGAAACCUGCCCAGAAGCGGGGGAUAACACCUGGAAACAGAUGCUAAUACCGCAUAACAACUUGGACCGCAUGGUCCGAGUUUGAAAGAUGGCUUCGGCUAUCACUUUUGGAUGGUCCCGCGGCGUAUUAGCUAGAUGGUGGGGUAACGGCUCACCAUGGCAAUGAUACGUAGCCGACCUGAGAGGGUAAUCGGCCACAUUGGGACUGAGACACGGCCCAAACUUCUACGGGAGGCAGCAGUAGGGAAUCUUCCACAAUGGACGAAAGUCUGAUGGAGCAACGCCGCGUGAGUGAAGAAGGGUUUCGGCUCGUAAAACUCUGUUGUUAAAGAAGAACAUAUCUGAGAGUAACUGUUCAGGUAUUGACGGUAUUUAACCAGAAAGCCACGGCUAACUACGUGCCAGCAGCCGCGGUAAUACGUAGGUGGCAAGCGUUGUCCGGAUUUAUUGGGCGUAAAGCGAGCGCAGGCGGUUUUUUAAGUCUGAUGUGAAAGCCUUCGGCUCAACCGAAGAAGUGCAUCGGAAACUGGGAAACUUGAGUGCAGAAGAGGACAGUGGAACUCCAUGUGUAGCGGUGAAAUGCGUAGAUAUAUGGAAGAACACCAGUGGCGAAGGCGGCUGUCUGGUCUGUAACUGACGCUGAGGCUCGAAAGUAUGGGUAGCAAACAGGAUUAGAUACCCUGGUAGUCCAUACCGUAAACGAUGAAUGCUAAGUGUUGGAGGGUUUCCGCCCUUCAGUGCUGCAGCUAACGCAUUAAGCAUUCCGCCUGGGGAGUACGGCCGCAAGGCUGAAACUCAAAGGAAUUGACGGGGGCCCGCACAAGCGGUGGAGCAUGUGGUUUAAUUCGAAGCUACGCGAAGAACCUUACCAGGUCUUGACAUACUAUGCAAAUCUAAGAGAUUAGACGUUCCCUUCGGGGACAUGGAUACAGGUGGUGCAUGGUUGUCGUCAGCUCGUGUCGUGAGAUGUUGGGUUAAGUCCCGCAACGAGCGCAACCCUUAUUAUCAGUUGCCAGCAUUAAGUUGGGCACUCUGGUGAGACUGCCGGUGACAAACCGGAGGAAGGUGGGGAUGACGUCAAAUCAUCAUGCCCCUUAUGACCUGGGCUACACACGUGCUACAAUGGAUGGUACAACGAGUUGCGAACUCGCGAGAGUAAGCUAAUCUCUUAAAGCCAUUCUCAGUUCGGAUUGUAGGCUGCAACUCGCCUACAUGAAGUCGGAAUCGCUAGUAAUCGCGGAUCAGCAUGCCGCGGUGAAUACGUUCCCGGGCCUUGUACACACCGCCCGUCACACCAUGAGAGUUUGUAACACCCAAAGUCGGUGGGGUAACCUUUUAGGAACCAGCCGCCUAAGGUGGGACAGAUGAUUAGGGUG
This 1489-nucleotide ribosomal RNA is filed under the name Lactiplantibacillus plantarum. RNAcentral's name for it is "bacterial SSU rRNA". It matches the Rfam family "Bacterial small subunit ribosomal RNA". Lineage: Bacteria; Bacillati; Bacillota; Bacilli; Lactobacillales; Lactobacillaceae. The record is from RNAcentral.